Molecule: ribosomal RNA, 1944 nt
Filed under: human gut metagenome
Description: bacterial LSU rRNA
Rfam family: Bacterial large subunit ribosomal RNA
Source: RNAcentral
UCAAGUGACUAAGUGUAUGUGGUGGAUGCCUUGGCGAUUACAGGCGAUGAAGGACGUGGCAGUCUGCGAAAAGCUGUGGGGAGUUGACAACGAACUUUGAUCCACAGGUCUCCGAAUGAGGGAACUCACCUGCAAAGGUAUCUUUAGCUGAAUACAUAGGCUAAAGAGGCGAACGUAGUGAACUGAAACAUCUAAGUAGCUACAGGAAAAGAAAUCAACCGAGAUUGCGCUAGUAGCGGCGAGCGAAUGCGCAGCAGCCUAAUGAUUGAUAGCAUCGAAAACAGCAGAAAGAUCUGGAAAGUUCUGCUAUAGAGGGUGAUAGCCCCGUAUGCGACAUUUUCGGUGUGGUACUAAGAUCAUGAAAAGUAAGGCGGGACACGUGAUAUCCUGCUUGAAGAUGGGGGGACCAUCCUCCAAGGCUAAAUACUCGUAAUCGACCGAUAGUGAACCAGUACCGUGAGGGAAAGGCGAAAAGAACCCCGGGAGGGGAGUGAAAUAGAUUCUGAAACCGCAUACAUACAAACAGUAGGAGCCCUGUUAAGGGGUGACUGCGUACCUUUUGCAUAAUGGGUCAGCGACUUACGUUCAGUAGCGAGCUUAACCGAGUAGGGGAGGCGUAGCGAAAGCGAGUUCGAAUAGAGCGAGUAGUUGCUGGGCGUAGACCCGAAACCGGAUGAUCUAUCCAUGACCAGGUUGAAGUUGUGGUAACACACAAUGGAGGACCGAACCGACUAGUGUUGCAAAAUUAGCGGAUGAGUUGUGGAUAGGGGUGAAAGGCUAAACAAAUCCGGAGAUAGCUGGUUCUCCCCGAAAACUAUUGAGGUAGUGCCUCGCGUAUCACUCCAGGGGGUAGAGCACUGUUAUGGCUAGGGGGACAUGGCGUCUUACCAAACCAUGGCAAACUCCGAAUACUUGGAAGUGCAAGCGCGGGAGACAGAGCACCGGGUGCUAACGUCCGGACUCAAAAGGGAAACAACCCAGACCGCCGGCUAAGGUCCCAAAUAUUUGCUAAGUGGAAAACGAAGUGGAAAGGCUAAGACAGUCAGGAAGUUGGCUUAGAAGCAGCCAUCCUUUAAAGAAAGCGUAAUAGCUCACUGAUCGAGUCUUUCUGCGCGGAAGAUGUAACGGGGCUAAGCAAGUAACCGAAGCCGCGGAUUCAUACUAAGUAUGAGUGGUAGGGGAGCGUUCUGUAAGCCUGCGAAGGUGUGUUGAGAAGCAUGCUGGAGGUAUCAGAAGUGCGAAUGCUGACAUGAGUAACGUUAAAGCGGGUGAAAAGCCCGCUCGCCGUAAGCCCAAGGUUUCCUGCUCUACGUUCAUCGGAGCAGGGUGAGUCGGCCCCUAAGGCCAGGCUGAGAAGCGUAGUCGAUGGGAACAAGGUUAAUAUUCCUAGACCAUUGUCAAGUAUGCGAUGGGGGGACGGAGUGUGGAAGAUGAUCCGGGUGUUGGAUGUCCCGGUUUGUGAGAGUAGAACGAGAGCAGGCAAAUCCGCUCUCGAAUGUUCGAGUCAAAACAUCGAAGCUCUACGGAGCUGAAGUCAUCGGAAGUGCUUCCAAGAAAAGCCUCUAAGUGGUAGCUUGACAAGACCGUACCGCAAACCGACACUGGUGGGCGAGUUGAAUAUACUAAGGCGCUUGAGAGAACUCGGGAGAAGGAACUCGGCAAAUUGACACCGUAACUUCGGAAGAAGGUGUGCCUUUGUAGUGUGAUGGAAGAGACAUCCGGAGCAUGAAGAGGCCUCAGAGAAUAGGUGGCUGCAACUGUUUACUAAAAACAUAGCACUCUGCAAAGAUGAAAGUCGACGUAUAGGGUGUGAUGCCUGCCCGGUGCUGGAAGAUUAAUUGAUGGGGUGCAAGCUCCUGAUCGAAGUCCCAGUAAACGGCGGCCGUAACUAUAACGGUCCUAAGGUAGCGAAAUUCCUUGUCGGGUAAGUUCCGACCUGCACGA